AAAAAUUGACAAGAUGGAGACUGAUCGUAAACAUGCAAUGGUAGUUCAGAAAAUUAAUUAAUUAGAGAGCAUAUAUAUAUAUGCAGCUUCUAUGGAAGAAAUUGUGAAGUGAUGACUCUGCAAUAUUGUUGACCAUAGUUGCGAUCUCAGAUAGUGUAUAGAAGAAAGCAACAAAGGAAGACGCUUUACUUUGGCCACAAAAACAAAUUUUGAAAAGAGAAA
This 222-nucleotide long non-coding RNA is filed under the name Nicotiana benthamiana. Its description in RNAcentral is "long non-coding RNA (NBEN_LNC039615)". Lineage: Eukaryota; Viridiplantae; Streptophyta; Magnoliopsida; Solanales; Solanaceae. The record is from RNAcentral.